GAUGAACGCUGGCGGCGUGCCUAAUACAUGCAAGUCGAGCGAACGGACGAGAAGCUUGCUUUUCUGAUGUUAGCGGCGGACGGGUGAGUAACACGUGGAUAAUCUACUUAUAAGACUGGGAUAACUUCGGGAAACCGGAGCUAAUACCGGAUAAUAUUUUGAACCGCAUGGUUCAAAAGUGAAAGGCGGUCUUGCGGUAACUUAUAGAGGGAUCCGCGCUGCAUUAGCUAGUUGGUAAGGUAACGGCUUAUCAAGGCAACGAUGCAUAGCCGACCUGAGAGGGUGAUCGGCCACCCUGGAACUGAGACACGGUCCAGACUCCUACGGGAGGCAGCAGUAGGGAAUCUUCCGCAGUGGGCGAAAGCCUGACGGAGCAACCCCGCGUGAGUGAUGAAGGUCUUCGGAUCGUAAAGCUCUGUUAUUAGGGAAGAACAUAUGUGUAAGUAACUGUGCACAGCUUGACGGUACCUAAUCAGGAAGCCACGGCUAACUACGUG
This 497-nucleotide ribosomal RNA is filed under the name uncultured bacterium. Its description in RNAcentral is "partial 16S ribosomal RNA". It matches the Rfam family "Bacterial small subunit ribosomal RNA", at positions 28 to 507 of the family's 1533-position model. The record is from RNAcentral.